CAAUUCCAAGGUUAACCAUUUCUUCGUCUCUUGAGAUUGUGAGUAGCAGCGUCGGACGAUUUUAGGGAAAAAAAAAUUUAUUGGAUUGGAAUCCCUAUGGACAGAAUCAGUUUCUUGCCUGAUGAUUUCCUGUUGCAUAUACUUUCAUUGCUUACCACAAAAGAUGUCUUGAAGACAAGUCUUUUGUCGAAACGAUGGCGGAAUCUUUGGAAGUUGGUGCCCAAACUCGACUACAUCGAUUUUAGAAAAAAGAAUGAUGCUGAUCAUGGGAGAUUUCUCCUGUUUGUGGACAGGUCUUUGCAAUUAAACACGGCUCCAAUCUUAGAGAGUUUAUCUUUCAAGUUUCAUUGGCGGCAUUGCAGUGACGUUGAUAUCGGAUUUUGGGUUAGAAUUGCAGCCAAACGAGGUUUACGCCAUUUCGAUUACUGUCCUUGCACUCUUCAUGAGCCUAGCAGAUUACCACAAAGCUUGUUCACCUGCGGGACACUCGUGGUACUUAAACUCACCAAUGUAUCGCUUGCGGAUGUUAAAUUCCCUGUUAGUUUCCCGUUACUCAAAGUGUUGCAUCUUCAUUGGCUGAUUUACUUAGACGAUGAAACCCCUCAGAAGCUUUUGUCAAGCUGCAAAAUUCUUGAAGAAUUGGUCGUGGACCGACAAAGGAAUGACAAUGUAACAACCAUUCCUAUAAAUGUGCCUUCAUUACUAAAGUUAGUCUAUAUUGGAGAAUCUAAUGAAGAAGUGUUUGAGUUGAAUGCUCCUUCUUUGAAGUGCUUAGAGGUUAAAGAUGUUGGUUACGAGUGUAUGGUUGAGGAUAUGCCUGAGAUCGUGACUGCAAAUGUGGAGGCUAUCUAUUCGAAUACCGACGACAUCUUGGGUGCUCUUACAUCAGUCAAACGCCUCUCGCUAUGUUUACCUUCAGAGUCGCCGUAUCCUACUGGUAAAAUCUUCCACCAGCUUGUAGACUUGGAGUACUGCACAUGUGAUACAGAAUGGGAUCAACUUAUCACUCUUCUCAAUCAAACUCCAAAACUACGAGCUCUCAAACUCAAUGAGAGACAUGGCUGUUUUUUUGGAGAACUAAGGCUUCAUUGGGAUGAGCCAAGUUCUGUUCCUGAAACGUUGAAGUCCGGACUUGAAACUUUCGAGUAUAGAAACUACAGAGGAUGGAAUGCAGAGAAACAAUUUGCAAAGUUUAUCUUGAAAAAUUCUUGUCGUUUAAAGAGGGCUGUUUUCUCACCAGUGGUCACCAAUUUGCAGAAGAAACAUGGAAUGCUCAUAGAGUUGGCUCUUUUGUCCAGAGGUUCAACGACGUGUCAGCUCGUCUUUGGCUAAAAAAUCUGAAACCAGCUGAAUUCAGAAACAGCUUUAUUGCAUCUCUUAAAAACCAUCUGCUCUGAUCCUCUACAUGUCAUCGUGAAUUUUAUCGAUAAAACUAUAUUGGAAUACAGGAUGUGAUUCUGUGAAUGAUUUGGCAUCAGCUUCAGAGUUAUAUCGCUGUAAGGUUGGUCUUGCUUCAUAUCUAUAAGUCCUCUAGACUUCAAUACCUGCAUAACAAAACAACCCAUCUCAGUUAGAGGCAAUGUACAGAGGAAUAUAUAGAAGGGCCAAAUUUUGUAUUGAGAAUCAAUCACCAGUGUCUCGUAGAACAUGCGAGCAGCUAUCUUCCUUGUCUUUCCUUCCAAGAUCUUGCUCAAACUUAGAUCUUCCGAUGGAUGGCUUGAAUUAGGACUACUUGAAGAACGUUCUGUAAUAUACUCAGCCACGGCUCUGCAAUGUUUAAUGAAAAUGUUACAAGUUAGUAGAGAAACAGUACGGCUCAUAAAAUGCUAUGUGUGGUUUGUUUGAAUCUGUAUACCUUGUUCUUCCUG
Capsella rubella is the source of this 1868-nucleotide RNA transcript. It is a transcript of the gene named FBD-associated F-box protein At5g56370, with no coding region annotated. NCBI's taxonomy places the organism in Eukaryota, Viridiplantae, Streptophyta, Magnoliopsida, Brassicales, Brassicaceae. The record is from RefSeq and is a predicted model, not a curated record. The transcript has 6 exons.